UGCUUUCACCGCAGAAACCCCCUAUGAACAUUACAUCAUCCAAAGCACUUCAUCAUUAGCCUUUCAUAUAAAUAAUCUAGGACCACAAGAUAACAACAGUGUAUGACAGAAUUUUGUAUUUUCUCAGUGGCGUUUAGAUUCAAUCUCCAAAAUUCUUUAGUUUCUUUGAAAUGUGCAAUACUCUUUACUGUUUUAUGCUAUAAACUGGAUUUUGUGAACAUAAAUUUACAUUAUACAGAACAAAGUUCUUAGUAAUUUUGCUGGUAUGGACACUUGCUAUUUCGACUCAGAUGAAAGUUACAAAUUCGACAAAUUCUCAAUAUCAAACAUACAUAAUUUAAGGCUAAUUUAACACUUAAAACCGAAGUCAUUGAGAUAUAUGGAGUACCUGAAUCAUUCCCUUGCCUUUGA
Arabidopsis thaliana (thale cress) is the source of this 411-nucleotide long non-coding RNA. RefSeq annotates it as other RNA. NCBI's taxonomy places the organism in Eukaryota, Viridiplantae, Streptophyta, Magnoliopsida, Brassicales, Brassicaceae. The record is from RefSeq. The transcript has a single exon.